CUCGAAUCGAGAUUAAUCGAUUUUUUUCGGGGGGUCCAAGCUUACCAACCCCUUUUCGUGGCACAGUCAUUCCAAUCAGUCGAUGAAAAACUGUAUACACAAAAGUUGAAGUUCUGUCUAAACACAAAAAGGAAAAAAAACGGCUGGCCUAUAGUAGUGCAGACGAGCUAUUCUUGGUCGCCCUUUUUUGUGAGGUGUUUAGAGUCAGUGACUGCAGCAUUGAAUGCAUGUGCAUGCCGUGCUGGUAUGCAACUGGUGCACCGGCUCCUGCUGCUGCCUCCGCAACAGCACUUGCCCUUUCUCCCUCGGUGGAACAGUGCACACACACACACCGGCCACGACGACAACGUGAUCGUUGUUGGUGAUAUGAACACAUCCCGAUGCAGCAAGUUAUGCUACGGUGAACGCACACAGGGAUCUCCUCCCUUCGUGUUCUGCUUGGUUACGCGGUUCUCGCGCAAGAGCGUUUUACGAUGCUCACCGUUUAUUCUCACGUACCAAAUAGAACCUCAAAGUUUUCCUAGGAAUCACAUUCCGUACCCUACAUUUUACCCCAAAGGUAAAGCAGAGCAGCAUGCAUGGACGGACAACGAGUAAGGCCAUAAAGAACGACGAAAACGAAACCAAUUGGAACUUCAAUCCAGUGCGCGCGCUCUGCAUUUCCGAAUUAUUCUAACAAGAGCAAGAGUGGCUUGCGACCCUCCUCCGUUGUGGCGUAAAAUAUCCCCCCCUCAAAAAAUUUCGAAGAAAUUCGUUUCGAUUCCAUCGCAAGGAACUUCCUCAAAAUCAAGGGAACGAUCUCCUACCCCAGUCGUGGUGUGAAAAUGUCUUCGGGAGUUGAUUUGGAGAGUUGGUUCCGCUUGAAGAAAGCGAAUCCAACCAUACCAUUUUGGGGAUGGCACUACUAAAGGGCAGCGGAAACUUCUUUGGAAAGGAACACUCCGGAACAUAAAUGUCUUCCUGCAGCGAAAAGAACAUUUCCACAUCUCCCACUCCCACUGCUGCGUUCUGAGGAAGGAAGGAAGGAUGAGUGAACGAAAGGAAAUGCAGCAUUCCUUUCUUCUCUCGAGGUUGGGCUGUUCAGCAGUCCACCAACGGAGCGGAAGAUAAAGAUAAUCUCGUGCCGAAUGAAUUGGUAAUGUGCAGAGGCUGUGCAACAACAGACGGACGAAGUAAAAAAAAACGACCAUUCUCCUCCUUCACCAGGACUCCCC
This is a long non-coding RNA of Anopheles arabiensis, 1214 nucleotides long. RefSeq lists it as uncharacterized. The record is from RefSeq and is a predicted model, not a curated record. The transcript has 3 exons. Lineage: Eukaryota; Metazoa; Arthropoda; Insecta; Diptera; Culicidae.